Molecule: long non-coding RNA, 705 nt
Filed under: Mus musculus (house mouse)
Lineage: Eukaryota; Metazoa; Chordata; Mammalia; Rodentia; Muridae
Description: predicted gene, 50214
Source: RNAcentral
ACCUUGCACUGGCAUAUGAACGUGGUACCGUAAGACUCACCCAGUUGAUAUCAGUUUUGGAAGCAUGGAGAGUCAUGAAGAGCAGCUGAGGCUUGGCACUGUGAGAGGACAGGGUAAGCCACUGGAGAAGGUUCAGCCUCAGUAGAAGUUGAAGGCCCAGGAUCCCAGGAGCUGUAGAAAAAAGUUGAUGUCAUCAAGAUCUCAGCAUUUUUGGAGAUGCCAGUCCCAUGGGAUAACUACCAAGAACAGUAGCAUUGGUGGAGUGGAGCCUGCCGCAGCCUGAAAGACAAGCUCUGUGUGAAGCAGAGGAUGGAGCCAGAGAUGUGAUUCAAGCCCUUUGGAGAAGCCCCGGAGAUCACAAAGAUCACGAAUGAAUCCCAGAUAGUGGGCGUUGAGUUAUUUACAAAGUGCGGGUUGCUUUAACUUUGACUCUGCCCUGGUUCUUCCUUCUUAAACUUCCAUCCACUGUUACUGCGUUCAAGUAAUUACACAAUCAACCGGCAUCCUAGAGAGCCCUGCGGUGGAGCAAGAGAUUGUGCUAAAAGGCUGUUUAUCUCCACGAUGACUGAAAGGCUACCAUAUGGCCAAGCUGGAAUAAAAAACACCUAGUGAAACCCCUUGUAGUGGCUAUUCCUGGUUGUCAACUUGACUAUAUUUGGAAUGAACUACAAUCCAGAAUUGGAAGGCUCACCAGUGACCCUUAUC